This is a small RNA of 214 nucleotides. It matches the Rfam family "c-di-AMP riboswitch aptamer (ydaO/yuaA leader)". From Rfam's summary of the family: This family represents a conserved RNA structure found upstream of the ydaO and yuaA genes in Bacillus subtilis and related genes in other bacteria.
UCACCAAUUGCGCCGAGCUCCAUCCAUUGGUGCGCGGGGACAACGAGAUACAACUUGGAUGGAGGCGGGGGACCCACCGGUCCACCGAAAUACAGGACCAGGAGCCGAACUCGGUUCCUUGGGGUGAAGCCGUCGCCGUUUCGACGACGCCGGCCGGGCGACCUCUCCAGCCCGAACCCGACAGCUGACCUCGCGGGCGCUUCAGAGAGGACCA